RNAcentral lists this ribosomal RNA (510 nucleotides) under uncultured Caryophanales bacterium. RNAcentral's name for it is "bacterial SSU rRNA". It matches the Rfam family "Bacterial small subunit ribosomal RNA", at positions 27 to 507 of the family's 1533-position model. Lineage: Bacteria; Bacillati; Bacillota; Bacilli; Caryophanales. The record is from RNAcentral.
GUAGGCGUACACGGAGAACGGCUGGCGGGCACUAGCCUAAUACAUGCAAGUCGAGCAACGGAUGAGGAGCUUGCUCCUCUGACGUUAGCGGCGAAUGGGUGAGUAACACUGGGCAACCUGCCCUGUAUUGGGGAUAACUCGGGAAACCGGGGCUAAUACCGAAUGAUUAAUUCUUUCUCAUGAAAGGAUUCUGAAAGACGGCUUCGGCUGUCGCUACGGGAUGGGCCCGCGGCGCAUUAGCUAGUUGGUAAGGUAACGGCUUACCAAGGCGACGAUGCGUAGCCGACCUGAGAGGGUGAUCGGCCACACUGGGACUGAGACACGGCCCAGACUCCUACGGGAGGCAGCAGUAGGGAGUCAUCCACAAUGGACGAAAGUCUGACGGUGCAAUGCCGCGUGAGCGAAGAAGGUUUUCGGAUCGUAAAGCUCUGUUAUGAGGGAAGAACAAGUACAAGAGUAACUGCUUGUACCUUGACGGUACCUCAUUAGAAAGCUACGGCUAACUACGUG